UCGGGAAUUUUGGGCAAUGGGCGAAAGCCUGACCCAGCAACGCCGCGUGAGGGAUGAAGUAUUUCGGUAUGUAAACCUCGAAAGAAUGGGAAGAAUAAAUGACGGUACCAUUUAUAAGCUCCGGCUAACUACGUGCCAGCAGCCGCGGUAAUACGUAGGGAGCAAGCGUUGUUCGGAUUUACUGGGCGUAAAGGGCGCGUAGGCGGCGCGGUAAGUCACUUGUGAAAUCUCUGAGCUUAACUCAGAACGGCCAAGUGAUACUGCUGUGCUAGAGUGCGGAAGAGGCAACCGGAAUUCUUGGUGUAGCGGGAAAAUGCGUAGAUAUCAAGAGAAACACCUGAGGCGAAGGCGGGUUGCUGGGCCGACACUGACGCUGAUGCGCGAAAGCCAGGGGAGCAAACG
Molecule: ribosomal RNA, 402 nt
Filed under: uncultured bacterium
Lineage: Bacteria
Description: bacterial SSU rRNA
Rfam family: Bacterial small subunit ribosomal RNA
Source: RNAcentral